Pantherophis guttatus is the source of this 1138-nucleotide long non-coding RNA. RefSeq lists it as uncharacterized. NCBI's taxonomy places the organism in Eukaryota, Metazoa, Chordata, Lepidosauria, Squamata, Colubridae. The record is from RefSeq and is a predicted model, not a curated record.
AGGAAGAAAACAACUUUUUAGCAAGUGAAGUCGCAAGCCUCGUGAAAGAAAACAAACUCUUGAAAAAGAAAUUUAGAGAAAGUCAAGGCAGUACAAAAGAAGACAAGGAAUGUAAGAAACUAAAAGAGGAAAUCCAGAGGUUCCCCAAGGAAAUAGAUGAACUGAAAAUCAUAAGUAUCUUACAUGGUAGUAAGAAAUUAGAACAACCUCAUAUUGUCCCCAGAAAUACAAAAAACAUCAAAGAGACAAAGAACAAGUGGAAACAAAAGAACUGAGAGAAAAACACCAGGAGAAGAUGGCUAAGAAAAAUGCCGUGAUAAGAGAGAACAAGUGGAGACGAAAGAACUGAGAGAAAAACACCAGAAGAAGAUGGCUAAGAAAAAUGCCGUGAACACAUCUCCACCUGCAAUCAACACUCAGAUGAGCAUAGAUUAAUACUAAGAUUAAUAUCAAUCCAGAAGUAAACAAUGCUUGAUGGCAGCAAGACUACUUCAUACACAAAAAUGGAAGAUCAUCUCGAUCAUUGAUAGAGUUAGCAGCGAUGGCUAAAUUGACUAUUUUGAUCAAAGAAAAAAGAAAUAUAAAUACUAUUACUUCUACUUGGAAACCGCUUCUGCACUUUGUGCUUGAGGUGAGAAAAAUUGAACUUUGAUUUUUGGUUUUAUAGUUUAGAUAGAUUUGUUGUUAUAGAAAUGGCUAGUUUAUAUUAUUAUGUAAAAGUAAAAAGUUGAGGUUUGAUGUUAAUGCCUUCUUCUACUGCACCAAAGUAAGUUGGAAGUCAAUGCCUUUUUUUUCUUUUUCCCCUUUUCUUUCCCACCCUUUUCCCUUCCCUAUUUUCCCUACUAUUUAUUUUUGUAUUUUCAUUGUAUGCUAUAUUAUAAACUAAUAAAAAACUGUUUUUAAAAAAGGAAGUAAACAAUGCCCCAAUCAAGGAACUGCCAAACAACCUAGCAGUAAACAGCCCAACCAAAGAAUCACCAAGAUCACUCCCACUAACACUGACAGGGCAGGCCACUAGAAUAUAAAUUGAGAGCAAACCCCACUCCUUACUAGCACUGAUGAUGUUACCUAGUUUGGGCAACGAAAGUUCUGCAGGAAAACCACCAAGCUCAGAGGGCACCAAGGACCCCUCAUUUCA